Molecule: ribosomal RNA, 402 nt
Filed under: uncultured bacterium
Lineage: Bacteria
Description: bacterial SSU rRNA
Rfam family: Bacterial small subunit ribosomal RNA
Source: RNAcentral
UAUUGGACAAUGGGCGCAAGCCUGAUCCAGCAAUACCGCGUGUGUGAAGAAGGCCUUAGGGUUGUAAAGCACUUUCAAUUGGGUGGAAAACCUGCCGGUCAAUACCCGGUAGCUUGACAUUACCUUUAGAAGAAGCACCGGCUAACUCCGUGCCAGCAGCCGCGGUAAUACGGAGGGUGCGAGCGUUAAUCGGAAUUACUGGGCGUAAAGCGUGCGUAGGCGGUUCGUUAAGUCAGAUGUGAAAGCCCUGGGCUCAACCUGGGAACUGCAUUUGAAACUGGCGGACUAGAGUUUAGUAGAGGGGAGUGGAAUUUCAGGUGUAGCGGUGAAAUGCGUAGAUAUUUGAAGGAACACCAGUGGCGAAGGCGACUCCCUGGACUAGAACUGACGCUGAGUACGAAA